GAUGAACGCUGGCGGUAUGCUUAACACAUGCAAGUCGAACGGUACCUUCGGGUAUAGUGGCGGACGGGUGAGUAACGCGUGAGAAUCUAUCUUCAGGUCGGGGACAACAGUUAGAAAUGACUGCUAAUACCGGAUGUGCCGAAAGGUAAAAGAUUUAUUGCCUGAAAAAGAGCUCGCGUCAGAUUAGCUAGUAGGUGGUGUAAGAGACUACCUAGGCUUCGAUCUGUAGCUGGUCUGAGAGGACGAUCAGCCACACUGGAACUGAGACACGGUCCAGACUCCUACGGGAGGCAGCAGUGGGGAAAUUUCCGCAAUGGGCGAAAGCCUGACGGAGCAAUACCGCGUGAGGGACGAAGGCUCUUGGGUCGUAAACCUCUUUUCUCAAGGAAGAUUCAGACGGUACUUGAGGAAUAAGCAUCGGCUAACUCUGUG
RNAcentral lists this ribosomal RNA (432 nucleotides) under uncultured bacterium. RNAcentral describes it as "partial 16S ribosomal RNA". It matches the Rfam family "Bacterial small subunit ribosomal RNA", at positions 28 to 507 of the family's 1533-position model. The record is from RNAcentral.